GUGCCAGCAGCCGCGGUAAUACGGAGGGUCCGAGCGUUAUCCGGAAUCAUUGGGUUUAAAGGGUCCGCAGGCGGUCAAUUAAGUCAGAGGUGAAAUCCCAUAGCUUAACUAUGGAACUGCCUUUGAUACUGGUUGACUUGAGUUAUAUGGAAGUAGAUAGAAUGUGUAGUGUAGCGGUGAAAUGCAUAGAUAUUACACAGAAUACCGAUUGCGAAGGCAGUCUACUACGUAUAUACUGACGCUCAUGGACGAAAGCGUGGGGAGCGAACAGGAUUAGAUACCCUGGUAGUCCACGCCGUAAACGAUGGACACUAGUUGUUGGGAUUUAUCUCAGUGACUAAGCGAAAGUGAUAAGUGUCCCACCUGGGGAGUACGAUCGCAAGAUUGAAACUCAAAGGAAUUGACGGGGGCCCGCACAAGCGGUGGAGCAUGUGGUUUAAUUCGAUGAUACGCGAGGAACCUUACCAGGGCUUAAAUGUAGUCUGACAGCUUUAGAGAUAGAGUUUUCUUCGGACAGAUUACAAGGUGCUGCAUGGUUGUCGUCAGCUCGUGCCGUGAGGUGUCAGGUUAAGUCCUAUAACGAGCGCAACCCUUGUCGUUAGUUGCCAGCAUGUAAAGAUGGGGACUCUAACGAGACUGCCGGUGCAAACCGAGAGGAAGGUGGGGAUGACGUCAAAUCAUCACGGCCCUUACGUCCUGGGCCACACACG
RNAcentral lists this ribosomal RNA (710 nucleotides) under uncultured bacterium. RNAcentral's name for it is "SSU rRNA". It matches the Rfam family "Bacterial small subunit ribosomal RNA", at positions 505 to 1222 of the family's 1533-position model. The record is from RNAcentral.